CGCUUUAUUUUGUUGAAGGUUUUGAGGAUUUUUUAUUUUAAAAAAUCUUCAAAAUCUUCAAUAAAAUAAAGCGC
Non-coding RNA from Paramuricea clavata, 74 nucleotides. NCBI's taxonomy places the organism in Eukaryota, Metazoa, Cnidaria, Anthozoa, Malacalcyonacea, Plexauridae. The record is from the annotation of a GenBank genome assembly.